AGCGAACGCUGGCGGCAGGCUUAACACAUGCAAGUCGAGCGGGCAUCCUUGUGGUGUCAGCGGCAGACGGGUGAGUAACGCGUGGGAACGUGCCCUUCGGUUCGGAAUAGCUCAGGGAAACUUGAGCUAAUACCGGAUACGUGCGAGAGCAGAAAGGUUUAUCUGCCGAAGGAUCGGCCCGCGUCUGAUUAGCUAGUUGGUGAGGUUAUGGCUCACCAAGGCGACGAUCAGUAGCUGGUCUGAGAGGAUGAUCAGCCACACUGGGACUGAGACACGGCCCAGACUCCUACGGGAGGCAGCAGUGGGGAAUAUUGGACAAUGGGGGCAACCCUGAUCCAGCCAUGCCGCGUGAGUGAUGACGGCCUUAGGGUUGUAAAGCUCUUUUCUCCGGGACGAUAAUGACGGUACCGGAGGAAUAAGCCCCGGCUAACUUCGUG
This 437-nucleotide ribosomal RNA is filed under the name uncultured bacterium. Its description in RNAcentral is "partial 16S ribosomal RNA". It matches the Rfam family "Bacterial small subunit ribosomal RNA", at positions 29 to 507 of the family's 1533-position model. The record is from RNAcentral.